RNAcentral lists this long non-coding RNA (3631 nucleotides) under Homo sapiens (human). RNAcentral's name for it is "HSALNT0284229". The record is from RNAcentral. Lineage: Eukaryota; Metazoa; Chordata; Mammalia; Primates; Hominidae.
AUAAUUUGAAUUAUGGGAGCAGUUUCUCUCAUACUAUUCUCAUGGUAGUGAAUAAGUCUCAUGAGAUCUGAUGGUUUUAUCAGGGCUUUCUGCUUUUGCAUAUUCCUCAUUUUCUCUUGCUAUCACCAUGUGAGAAGUGCCUUUCGCCUCCCGCUGUGAUUUUGGCCUCCCCAGCCAUGUGGAACUGAAAUUAUGGAACUGUGGAUGUGACAGAGCCAUUGCUGAAAAAUAUGUUUGUUGGCAGGCUCAUAAGCAGAAGGGACUCACCUUAUCUCAGAUAAGACGCUGGACUUGGACUUUUGUUAAUGCUGGAAUGAGUUAAGCCUUUGGGUUACUGUUGAGAAGGGAUAAUUGUAUUUUAAAAUGUGAGAAGGACAUGAGAUUUGGGAGGGGUCGGGGCAAAAUGAUAUUGUUUGUUUCUGUGUCCCCAACCAAAUCUCAUGUUGAAUUGUAAUCCCCAUGUGUCAGGGCUGGGACCUGGAGGGAGGAGAUCAGAUCAUGGGAGCAGAUUCCCCCAUGCUGCUCUUGUGAUAGUGAGUGAGUUUUCACAAGUUCUGAUGAUUUAAAAAUGUGGCACUUCCCCCGCUCUCUUCUGCUGCCUUGUGAAGAAGGUGCUUGCUUCUCCUUCACCUUCUGUCAUGAUUGUAAGUUUCCUGAGGCCACCCUAGCCAAGCAGAAAUGUGAGUCAAUUAAAUAUAUUUUCGUUAUAAAUUACCCAUUCUCAGAUAGUUCUUUAUAGCAGUGUGAAAACAGACUAAUGCAAUCAUUAUCAAGUAUUCUGUACUGUAUGUAAUUGAAUGUGACAUCACUUUUGUACAACUGGCAAUACAAUAAGCUUGAUUUCACUAACAUCACCACAAAAAUGUGAGUUUUUCAUUGUAUUGUGAUGUUACAAUGUCUACGAUGUCACUAGGCUAUAAGGACAUUUUAGGUCCAUUGAAAUCUUAUGGGGCCACCAUCGUAUAUGUGUUCAAUCACUAAUUGAACGUUUUUAUAUGGCAUAUGACUGUAUAGGUCAAACAUUAUCAAAUUGUAUACCUUAAAUAUGUGUAGUUUAUUGUAUUUCAAUUUUAUCUCAAUAAAACCACUUUAAAAUAUCCAUACUGUAAGGACUCAUCACCCCAUAACAAAACAAUGUUUCAAGAAUUAUGUAGAACAGUUUAUUUUUAAAAACCCACCAUCAUACAGAAAAAAAGAAAUCCAUACAGUAUAAAAAGAGUCUUCUCUCUUGAUCAUACUUAUGGCCAAGUUAUCAUCAGUUGUUUUUAUGGGGUACAUUUUUGUCUAAGUGUGCCACAUAUUAUGCUUACACAAAGAUAUCUGGUUUGUGGGACAACUCAUCUGUCCAUUUAUAGUUCUUAAUAAUCAUCUGCACUGUAACAAAAAGUAAUCCUAGUAAUGCUUAGUACAUUUCUCUUAAUAGUGAACAAAUGUCAACAAAAUUUACAUUCAAGGUAAUAUUGCUCCUUUGUCCUAUGGAAUAUGUACUGAGAAAAAAUAUGGAUUUCCAGCUAUCACCCUAUAUAAAUGAAAAGUUGUAGGCUCAUAAGUUAUUCAAAUUUCAAUUAUUCCCCCAUAAAAUAAAUGACUAGUCAUAAACAAAUUCAAAUAUUUAGCUCAAAUUUUUUGAUUACAUUAAUUUAUAUAAUAAAACACACCAAUUAAAAAUGAUUUUGGACAACAAAACUCGAGAUAGUCUUAAGCUAAAUAACAGAUUACAUUACUUUAUAUACAGCAUCUUCUUAUUUUUGUGAAUUUAUAUAUGUCAAAAUGAUGCACAGAUUAUUAUUCUGUAUCUAAUUAUGUAGUCUAAAUAUUUUAAAAUUUGGCUAAAAUACAGGAAAAAGUGACCAGUUUCUCAUAAAUGUGUUUAAUGUGUACUUCCUAAUAGCCUUGGUUUCUUAUAUUAUCAAAGCUCUUAUACAUCGACAAGUAGAUAAAUGUAGAACCCAGUAUACACUUAUAACAUGACUGCAGAGGGCCUAGAAAGUUGUCUCCUAUACUAAAAAUCAUGAAACAUAAUAAUAACAGCAACAGCAGUGGCAAAAACAUAUUGCUAUCUCCACAUCACCAACCUUCUAUCCACUAUGAAUUGUUCAUGUAACUUGAUUCUAUAGCAUUUACUUCUAUCAACAAGUAAUUAACAAAGAGGAAAAUUUUUCUCAUUUUAAAAUAAAAAUAAUUUUCAGAAGAGUUACAUGUCAUUAAAACAAUUGUAUAAUAUAGUUUAUCCAAUUACACUUAUUGAAACAUUUAGUGGGUACUCACUCUAUGCAUGCCACUAUGCUGGGGCCAGAGAUACGAGGAUAAAUAUGUUGCAUUUUUUGCCCUUAAAGUUAUUAUGAUCUUCUAUAGGAAAUAGAGAAAAAUUGAUCAAUUAUUAUAUACAGCAGCAGUCUCCAACCUUUUUGUCAUCAGGGACCAGUUUGUAGAAGAUAAUUUUUCCAUGGACCAAGGCAUAGAUGGUUUGGGGAUAAAACAGUGCCACCUCAGAUCAUCAGGCAUUAGAUUCUCAUAAGGAGUGUGCAACCUAGAUCCCGCACAUCUGUGGUUCACAAUAGUGUUGUUAGAGCUCCUAUGAGAAUCUAAUGCAGCUACUGAUCUGACAGGAGGCGGAGCUUAGGCGGUAAUGCUGUCUAACCCACUGCUCACCUCCCACUGUGUGGCCCAGUCACCAACUGGUACCAGGGGUUUAGGGACCCCUGAUAUAUGGCGUUUGCAAGUAGUAUAAAAAUACACAUGAUAGCCCUUUACCCAAGAUAGUGUGCUAGUGUGUGUGUGUGUGUGAGUGUGUGUGUGUAUGUGUGUGUGUGUGAGAGAGAGGAUAGAAUUAGAAAUGAGAACAGGUUCAGGGGAGGCCUCUUCAAGAAUAAGUGAGAUUGCUCUUGAAAUAAAUUUUGAAGGAUAACUAAGAGUUGAUGAAGCAAAGGAAGGUAGGCCAGUAUUCACAUGCUAGGAAACAACCCAUUUAGAGGCUCAAGGAAAGCUUGCACAUUCAGGAGCCUGCAAAUUGUUGACUAUGACUAGAAUGUAGAGUGUAAAGAAGAAAGUGGCAGUAGAGAGAAAUAAAGGUGAGAUGCAGAGAAUUAAAAUCAUCAUGACCUUGUAUUGUGUGUUAAAAAGUUAAGACAUCAUCCUGAUCAUAUUUUUUCCCUCUAAUAAUUUUAGCUAAGAGUAGUCAUUACGAAAAAGAAGACUUUUAUGACUUUUAUGGGGAGAAUGAGGACAGCACUAACAUUUAUUGAAGACCUGUUUUGUCUGAUGGUUAGGAAGAGUCUGACUCCAUGUUUUAUAUUUGACUGCACAGCAUUUAGGCUCCUACCCUGCCCUGCCCAAACACUAUAUAUCUGGUACUAUAGACAAAUAAACCUGCAUGCCUUUUGAGAUUUUGGGUCCUGUGGAAAUUUGAACUUCACAGCCCCAGACUGAAUGUGAGAACUCCUCUCCAGCCCCACUCUCUCGCCAUUACAAAAGUCAAACCAACUCUCUGCUCAUUGUUCUUGCCGUUCUAGCCAGAUCAGCUUGCAGUUACCUUGCUCUAUGUACAAUUUCCUGAUGUGAAUAAUAAACUCCUUGCAAAUUAUCAAGGUGUGUGAAGUGUCGUCAGUCUGGAUAUGUGGCCUAUUAACUG